GAUGAACGCUGGCGGCGUGCUUAACACAUGCAAGUCGAACGAUGAAGCCCAGCUUGCUGGGUGGAUUAGUGGCGAACGGGUGAGUAACACGUGAGUAACCUGCCCUUGACUCUGGGAUAAGCCCGGGAAACUGGGUCUAAUACCGGAUAGGAGCGCCUGUCGCAUGACGGGUGCUGGAAAGAUUUUUCGGUCAUGGAUGGACUCGCGGCCUAUCAGCUUGUUGGUGAGGUAAUGGCUCACCAAGGCGACGACGGGUAGCCGGCCUGAGAGGGUGACCGGCCACACUGGGACUGAGACACGGCCCAGACUCCUACGGGAGGCAGCAGUGGGGAAUAUUGCACAAUGGGCGGAAGCCUGAUGCAGCGACGCCGCGUGAGGGAUGACGGCCUUCGGGUUGUAAACCUCUUUCAGUAGGGAAGAAGCGAAAGUGACGGUACCUGCAGAAGAAGCACCGGCUAACUACGUG
This 466-nucleotide ribosomal RNA is filed under the name uncultured bacterium. RNAcentral's name for it is "partial 16S ribosomal RNA". It matches the Rfam family "Bacterial small subunit ribosomal RNA", at positions 28 to 507 of the family's 1533-position model. The record is from RNAcentral.